Telopea speciosissima is the source of this 174-nucleotide long non-coding RNA. RefSeq lists it as uncharacterized. The record is from RefSeq and is a predicted model, not a curated record. The transcript has 3 exons. Lineage: Eukaryota; Viridiplantae; Streptophyta; Magnoliopsida; Proteales; Proteaceae.
GGUUGAAAUAGCUGCAUCUGAAAGGGAGCAGUUAUUGCUUAUGAAAAUUUCAGAGCUUGAAGCCAGGAUGAUUAAUCUAACUGAUGAGGUAGCUGAGGCAAGGUUGAAACAUCUGUAGUUGCAGCAGCAGCUAAAUGUUGCAUAUGGUCGGGAAGAAGAAGGAGCACAGGGGGG